ACAGGCUUCCUGGAAAGGUCCCUUCACUCCUGAGAAGACAACCCUUCUCCUGAAGAGGUGAUCUGGUCCAUCCCAAUAUGUUUUCUGCGAUGACUUAGAAUCAUUGUGCAACCAGGAGGAGAAGCCAACCAAUCACAGCUGAACAGGGAGUUGGGUGUGGACUGAUCACUGCACUCCUGAAUGAGCCUGCUCUCCAGUGUUCUCGGUCUGGGCUUUCCCCAUUCACAGUUCAAGGGAUGUUUCUACAAUGCUGCAGUUGUGUUUACAAAGAGAGAGAAUGAGAUCUUAAAUAUAAUGAUGGGGGAACUGGUGAGAUGCAUUUUAAGUAGAAAAAUCUGAAAUAGUGUGAUUUUUGAAAAACAAAAAUAUACAUCUACUGUUUAUACUUACAAAA
Molecule: long non-coding RNA, 394 nt
Filed under: Mus pahari (shrew mouse)
Lineage: Eukaryota; Metazoa; Chordata; Mammalia; Rodentia; Muridae
Description: lncRNA (MGP_PahariEiJ_G0005131.1)
Source: RNAcentral